This 800-nucleotide ribosomal RNA is filed under the name Staphylococcus sp. JSM 2215028. RNAcentral's name for it is "bacterial SSU rRNA". It matches the Rfam family "Bacterial small subunit ribosomal RNA", at positions 38 to 820 of the family's 1533-position model. Lineage: Bacteria; Bacillati; Bacillota; Bacilli; Caryophanales; Staphylococcaceae. The record is from RNAcentral.
GGCAGGCGGGUGCUAUACAUGCAGUCGAGCGAACAGAUAAGGAGCUUGCUCCUUUGACGUUAGCGGCGGACGGGUGAGUAACACGUGGGUAACCUACCUAUAAGACUGGGAUAACUUCGGGAAACCGGAGCUAAUACCGGAUAACAUUUGGAACCGCAUGGUUCUAAAGUGAAAGAUGGUUUUGCUAUCACUUAUAGAUGGACCCGCGCCGUAUUAGCUAGUUGGUAAGGUAACGGCUUACCAAGGCGACGAUACGUAGCCGACCUGAGAGGGUGAUCGGCCACACUGGAACUGAGACACGGUCCAGACUCCUACGGGAGGCAGCAGUAGGGAAUCUUCCGCAAUGGGCGAAAGCCUGACGGAGCAACGCCGCGUGAGUGAUGAAGGGUUUCGGCUCGUAAAACUCUGUUAUUAGGGAAGAACAAAUGUGUAAGUAACUGUGCACGUCUUGACGGUACCUAAUCAGAAAGCCACGGCUAACUACGUGCCAGCAGCCGCGGUAAUACGUAGGUGGCAAGCGUUAUCCGGAAUUAUUGGGCGUAAAGCGCGCGUAGGCGGUUUCUUAAGUCUGAUGUGAAAGCCCACGGCUCAACCGUGGAGGGUCAUUGGAAACUGGGAAACUUGAGUGCAGAAGAGGAAAGUGGAAUUCCAUGUGUAGCGGUGAAAUGCGCAGAGAUAUGGAGGAACACCAGUGGCGAAGGCGACUUUCUGGUCUGUAACUGACGCUGAUGUGCGAAAGCGUGGGGAUCAAACAGGAUUAGAUACCCUGGUAGUCCACGCCGUAAACGAUGAGUGCUAAG